This 254-nucleotide ribosomal RNA is filed under the name uncultured bacterium. RNAcentral's name for it is "partial 16S ribosomal RNA". It matches the Rfam family "Bacterial small subunit ribosomal RNA", at positions 524 to 776 of the family's 1533-position model. The record is from RNAcentral.
UACAGAGGGUGCGAGCGUUAAUCGGAAUUACUGGGCGUAAAGCGUGCGUAGACGGCUAUCUAAGUCGGGUGUGAAAGCCCCGGGCUCAACCUGGGAAUUGCAUUCGAGACUGAAUAGCUAGGGUACGGUAGAGGGAAGCGGAAUUUCCGGUGUAGCGGUGAAAUGCGUAGAUAUCGAGAGGAACACCUGCGGCGAAGGCGGGUUGCUGGGCUGACACUGACGCUGACAGCGCGAAAGCUAGGGGAGCGAACGGG